GCUGUCGUUGCGGAGUGGUUAAGGCGCUAGUCUAGAAAUCUUUUUGGAUCUUCCUGUGAAGGUUGGAAUACUGCCGACAACG
Molecule: transfer RNA, 82 nt
Filed under: Dreissena polymorpha
Lineage: Eukaryota; Metazoa; Mollusca; Bivalvia; Myida; Dreissenidae
Description: tRNA-Ser
Source: RNAcentral